GCCCCGCCCCGUCGCAUUGCAGCUAACGUUACCUACGGAAGUUGGGCAGUCAUUGGGGGCCGUCGUUUUCUGGCGUGACAAAAGGGAAAAACGACCACAUUUACUCGCCCCCUCCUUGAAGGUUUGAUACUGUGGUGCAUCGGCGGAAGAACGCUCGAAGCAAGAUGCGGGAGUGUGGCAUGCUGGAGAGGGACCGGGUAGCUCUGCGGAGUGCUUCUCUCUGCAGGCAGCUGGUGGUGGAUGAGCUUCUCAUUCAGUUUCUGCUUCAGGACAACAUCCUCACCGACAGUAUGGCUGAGGGCAUCCUGGCCGAGCAAACGUCCCAGAAACGAAGCUUGCGUCUGCUGUUGCUCCUUCCCAAGCGAGGGCCGCGAGCCUUCAGCAGCUUCUGCUCGGCGCUCCGAGAAACCGAGCAGCGACACCUGUGCGAGCUGGUCACGCAAUCGCAGGAGAAGGAGGCGCAAGGUUUCCAACCUGAUGAGGAGCGUGAAGGACGGGCAGGAUGGCAGCUAAUGCAGACAUCAGAGAGGAGGAGAGAGAGAUAUAGCGACUCCUCUCUUCCACUUGCCACUCAGGAAGAAACCGUAGCAAAACGAGCCAGGACGCACGAAUUUAUGGAGUACAGCUUGGAUGCAGAUAGUCCCAUCACCACUCCCGUCCUCCCUUGCACGCAUGACCUCUACCUCUCACAAUGCCUCAGGUCCUAUGCAAUGACCUCAUCCCCACGUGGUUUAGCCCUGGUGAUCAGCAAUAUGACGUUUGACCCACCCGACCUGGACCCCAGGAAGGGCGGCGAGGUGGACUACGAUGUGCUCAGCGAGCUUUUCACAGAUCUGGACUACGCGGUGACGCUCCGCAGAGACCUGACGGCUGAGGAAAUGAGAACCAGCAUCGAGAGCUUCCGCCGGCGUCCGGAGCACCGCUCGGUGAACAGCUGCGUGGUUUGUCUCCUCUCCCACGGCGUAGAAGGUGCCGUGUACGGCACAGACGGCCAGCUCCUGCAGCUUCAGUGGGUGUUUGAGGCCUUUGACAACGUGCGCUGCCCGCUGCUGCAGAACAAACCAAAGAUGUUUUUCAUCCAGGCCUGCAGAGGAGAGGACCUGGACUGCGGAGUGGAGCAGGUGGAUGGGCCAGGAAGGAGCAGCUCACCCAGCUGUGAACAGCGGGACGCCGGGCGAGAAGGUCCCAGGGGCGCCGGUGCCAGACAGGGAGGGGACUUAGGACUGCCCAGGAUUAAACUGCCCCAGCGGUCUGACAUGAUAUGCGGCUAUGCCUCUCUCAAAGGUCAGACCAUUUGCACGGCGGCCAUGCGCAACACCAAGCGAGGAUCCUGGUUCAUCCAGGAGCUCAACUCUACCCUCCGCCUCCACGCCAGAGACACACACAUGGCUGACAUCCUGGUGCAGGUCAACGGGCGGAUCAAAGAGCGCGAGGGUUACGCCCCCGGCACGCCCCACCAUCGCUGCAAAGAGAUGUCCGAGUUCACCAGCUCGCUGUGCAAAGACCUCUACCUUUUUCCCAAAUACCAGCCCCAUUCUUCAUAAUGCACUUACACACACGCACACUAGUGUGUUCACACGUCCCCUCAUUCCAAGCGUAUUACUGUCACACACUUUUGCAUUCCAGCGUUACAAGCUCACACACACACACACACACACACAGGCUUCCAAACAUUUACUCAUUCACAAUUUCUGUGUUAAUGCUCCCUCAGCAAAAGUCUGCAUGUUUGACAUCUCACAGCAUUCACAAUUCUGUGUCGAGGGUAUUCAUCCCUCUUCUGGGUAUUAUUGUAAAAUGGUAUUUUCUACACAGAUCUAUUUUAGUUUUGUUUUGUACAAAUGUAUUUUUUAAGGAUUUUGUAAAUUAACCCCCUCGCAUUUUAAUGUAUUUGUUCAGCAGCUUCAGCGUCGGUUGUCAUGUUGCAGUGUACAGUAGUGAAAGGCAGAGGGCAGCAUUGAGCAACGAGGUUGGUGCAGCAGGUUUUUUUUCCCCCUUCCUCCUCUCCAAAUAGGAGGUUCUCCAGCAUUCCAAAAUGUUUCCUACUCACAUGUCACCUUUUAUUCAGUUGAAUCCCUCUGACAUGGCUUUUACUUGAAGAUGUUUGUGUUGUAAAUAUUUCUCUUUUAACCGUAGCCUCCCACCUCCAGUGUGAACUUUGAACUUUACGCUGACACCUAAUCACGCUCCCCUCCAAGGGGGGUGACACGCAUUUAGCGACACCCCUACUCAACCUUUUAGCGUUUAUAUUUUCUGUUAUGUCAUCCUAUGUGAUACAGUGACCAAUGUACAUCUCGUGUCUUCCAAAAAGUUUCAGGAAAUAUGCAGAUAAAAAAAAAAGCUGGUUAUUAUCACAGUGUAUUGAAGCGCUCCCCCCUCGACUCAGACAUCCAGCAUUUGUCAAUGCUGGAUGUUCAUUGAUGUUUCCCAGAAAAGCCACAAUGAGGCAACGUGCGUUUGGUUACAGUGUUGUGGAGAAAGAUACUACGAAGCAGUAUUGAUUUGUCACCAAAGAGGCUUUGAAAGUACGUGCUCUUCUUGGAUGUUGCGUUGUAACGAUAGUAAAAGAAUGACGACGAGGUCACCGUGCAGAGAGAGGAUGUGAUUUGCUGCCAAACUCUUGUGCUGAGAUGGGAGGGGGGGUUAUUUCUGUCAUCGCUAAUGACUGCCAAGUCUUCCUGACAAUAAACAAGCUAAUGUUUAUCAACAA
Molecule: RNA transcript, 2707 nt
Organism: Syngnathus acus (greater pipefish)
Lineage: Eukaryota; Metazoa; Chordata; Actinopteri; Syngnathiformes; Syngnathidae
Gene: casp2
Gene name: caspase 2, apoptosis-related cysteine peptidase
Exons: 13
Source: RefSeq, a predicted model, not a curated record